UGGUAUGUACUAGCCUGCCGAUUCCUCCUUCUUGUAGAACCGUAAUGCCAUUAAUUUGGUGUUGCGGGGAAACAGGACUGUUACUUUGAAAAAAUUAGAGUGUUUAAAGCAGGCUAGCGCCUGAAUACAUUAGCAUGGAAUAAUGAAAUAGGACGUUCGAACCUAUUUUGUUGGUUUCUAGGAUUGACGUAAUGAUUAAUAGGGAUAGUUGGGGGCAUUAGUAUUCAAUUGUCAGAGGUGAAAUUCUUGGAUUUAUUGAAGACUGACUACUGCGAAAGCAUUUGCCAAGGAUGUUUUCAUUAAUCAAGAACGAAAGUUAGGGGAUCGAGGACGAUCAGAUACCGUCGUAGUCUUAACCAUAAACUAUGCCGACUAGGGAUCGGAUGAUGUUAAUUUUUUAAUGACUCAUUCGGCGCCUUACG
This 422-nucleotide ribosomal RNA is filed under the name uncultured Glomeromycotina. RNAcentral describes it as "SSU rRNA". It matches the Rfam family "Eukaryotic small subunit ribosomal RNA", at positions 669 to 1092 of the family's 1831-position model. The record is from RNAcentral. Lineage: Eukaryota; Fungi; Glomeromycota.